UUCCUACGGGGGGCAGCAGUGAGGAAUAUUGGUCAAUGGGCGAGAGCCUGAACCAGCCAAGUCGCGUGAGGGAGUACUGCCCUAUGGGUUGUAAACCUCUUUUGUCGGGGAGCAAAAGCCGGACGUGUCCGGCUGUGAGAGUACCCGAAGAAAAAGCAUCGGCUAACUACGUGCCAGCAGCCGCGGUAAUACGUAGGGAGCAAGCGUUAUCCGGAUUUACUGGGUGUAAAGGGCGUGUAGGCGGGCCUGCAAGUCAGAAGUGAAAUCUGGGGGCUUAACCCCCAAACUGCUUUUGAAACUGUGGG
This 305-nucleotide ribosomal RNA is filed under the name uncultured bacterium. RNAcentral describes it as "bacterial SSU rRNA". It matches the Rfam family "Bacterial small subunit ribosomal RNA", at positions 336 to 639 of the family's 1533-position model. The record is from RNAcentral.